This 339-nucleotide ribosomal RNA is filed under the name uncultured bacterium. RNAcentral's name for it is "bacterial SSU rRNA". It matches the Rfam family "Bacterial small subunit ribosomal RNA", at positions 457 to 793 of the family's 1533-position model. The record is from RNAcentral.
UAGCGUAUUCGUUUGACGUUAGCGACAGAAGAAGCACCGGCUAACUCCGUGCCAGCAGCCGCGGUAAUACGGAGGGUGCGAGCGUUAAUCGGAAUUACUGGGCGUAAAAGCGCAUGCAGGUGGUUUGUUAAGUCAGAUGUGAAAAGCCCGGGCUCAAACCUCGGAAUAGCAUUUGAAAACUGGCAGACUAGAGUACUGUAGAGGGGUAGAAUUUCAGGUGUAGCGGUGAAAAUGCGUAGAGAUCUGAAGGAAUACCGGUGGCGAAGGCGGCCCCUGGACAGAUACUGACACUCAGAUGCGAAAGCGUGGGGAGCAAACAGGAUUAGAUACCCCUGGUAG